UUUCCGUAGGUGAACCUGCGGAAGGAUCAUUAUUGUAUAACCGAGGUGCGAGGGCUGUCGCUGACCCGAAAGGUCGUGCACGCCCGAGUGCCCCCGCACACAUCCAUCUCACCCCUAUGUGCACCACCGCGUGGGUCCCCCUUUGGCUUGUUCGGAGGGGGGCUUACGUUUUCACACAAACUUUGUAUGCAGUGUAGAAUGUAUUUUUUGUUUUUGCGAUCACGCAAUCAAUACAACUUUCAACAACGGAUCUCUUGGCUCUC
Molecule: unclassified non-coding RNA, 263 nt
Filed under: plant metagenome
Description: partial contains small subunit ribosomal RNA, internal transcribed spacer 1, and 5.8S ribosomal RNA
Source: RNAcentral